This 424-nucleotide ribosomal RNA is filed under the name Ralstonia pickettii. RNAcentral describes it as "bacterial SSU rRNA". It matches the Rfam family "Bacterial small subunit ribosomal RNA", at positions 51 to 470 of the family's 1533-position model. The record is from RNAcentral. Lineage: Bacteria; Pseudomonadati; Pseudomonadota; Betaproteobacteria; Burkholderiales; Burkholderiaceae.
ACACAUGCAACUCGAACGGCAGCAUGAUCUAGCUUGCUAGAUUGAUGGCGAGUGGCGAACGGGUGAGUAAUACAUCGGAACGUGCCCUGUAGUAGGGGGAUAACUAGUCGAAAGAUUAGCUAAUACCGCAUACGACCUGAGGGUGAAAGUGGGGGACCGCAAGGCCUCAUGCUAUAGGAGCGGCCGAUGUCUGAUUAGCUAGUUGGUGGGGUAAAGGCCCACCAAGGCGACGAUCAGUAGCUGGUCUGAGAGGACGAUCAGCCACACUGGGACUGAGACACGGCCCAGACUCCUACGGGAGGCAGCAGUGGGGAAUUUUGGACAAUGGGCGAAAGCCUGAUCCAGCAAUGCCGCGUGUGUGAAGAAGGCCUUCGGGUUGUAAAGCACUUUUGUCCGGAAAGAAAUGGCUCUGGUUAAUACCUGG